CACGUAGGGGGCGAGCGUUGUCCGGAUUUAUUGGGCGUAAAGAGCUCGUAGGCGGCUCAGUAAGUCAGGUGUGAAAACUCCAGGCUCAACCUGGAGACGCCACCUGAUACUGCUGUGGCUAGAGUCCGGUAGGGGAGCAUGGAAUUCCUGGUGUAGCGGUGAAAUGCGCAGAUAUCAGGAGGAACACCAGUGGCGAAGGCGGCUCACUGGCUCGGUACUGACGCUGAGGUGCGAAAGCGUGGGGAGCAAACAGG
This 254-nucleotide ribosomal RNA is filed under the name uncultured bacterium. RNAcentral's name for it is "partial 16S ribosomal RNA". It matches the Rfam family "Bacterial small subunit ribosomal RNA", at positions 524 to 776 of the family's 1533-position model. The record is from RNAcentral.